Molecule: long non-coding RNA, 1350 nt
Organism: Astatotilapia calliptera (eastern happy)
Lineage: Eukaryota; Metazoa; Chordata; Actinopteri; Cichliformes; Cichlidae
Source: Ensembl
AACUGAACUGCUCUCAAAUUAUUUCAACAGAUGUAAAAAGAGAAAGAAGAAGAAAUAAAUAUCCACUGAAAUUAUGUGAAAUUUAAAGCUCCUUUCAAAUACUACGCCCUACAGAAUCAUCAGCAGCUAUAUAUAAUGGGGCUAUGUUAACACUAUUUACUGUAAAAUAAAUAAUUAAAUAAAAAUAAAUAUUUGCAUAUUGAUAUGACACUGUGACCUUUUUUUAAAAAAAAAAAAAAUUCAUUCCUGAUUUGUCCAGCAGAGGACUGCAUCACACAUUCCCUCACAGAGCUUGCACUGAGCAACAUGCAUUAAACCAGGAUUUUGUUGAAGUGCACACAAGCACACACAUACACGUAGGCAGACACACAAACAGGCACACACAUGCACACUAAAUGACUGAUGCCUUGGUGUUGUUUUUCAUAUGUAGAUCUGUGCUAAUCCCUGCUCCUCCGCUGCUGUGAUCAGGCCCAGACUGAGUGGAUAUGACAGCUGGCCCACCUGUUCAAAGUGAUCAAAGAAGCAGCAGGUACUUAAGUGAUGAAUCAGCUGCUCUGAAACUAACCUGCAAACUGACCUGGUUUGAACACUGGCUGGGAUCUUUUUAUGUGGAGAUUUGCAAUAUAAAUACACCUGGUCAGGCUCAGGCAAUCAAUACCAGCCGUGGCCCUGAAGGAGAACCCUGACAGCCGCUACUCCGGAUCCAUGCCAUUCCGGCUACUGCCCCACCAUCAGUCAACCUCAUACCACACAUACAAGAUGGAUAGACUUACCUACACAUAAAUAGCAUAUUUACACACGUAGAGUUAAGAAAAGAAAAUGAGAACUGAGCCACUGGAAGAGAACAGUGACGAUAACAACAAAUGAUGCUGUCAGAUACUGUUACAGGGUUAUGUCAAGUAAAAACUGUCUAUAAUAAUUAAUAAUAUGAAAUGUGUAUUUUAUCAGUGGCUCAGUAGCACAACGUUUAGCACUGUUGCCUCACAGUAAGAAGUUUCUGAGACUGACUCCACUAUCUGGCCGGGACCUUUCUGUGUGGAGUUUGCAUCUUCUCCCCUUGUUUGUGUGAGUACUCUUAAGGUACUCCAGCUUCCUCCCACGGUGGAAAAAAAUGAAGUUAGGUUAGGUUAAUUGGUAAUUCUAAAUUGCCCAUUAAUAAGUAUCUGUCUGUCUGUGUUAGUCCUGACAGACUGGCGACCUGUUGAGGGUAUACCCUGCCUCUUCCCCUAUGAUAGCUGGGUUAGGUUCCUCUACCACAGACAGAAUAGAUGAAUGGAUUUUAUCUUUGUCUCUAGUAGUUGAAGUGCUGUGUAUACCCAAAAUUAAUAAAUUACUGUAUUUCAUCACACC